CACGAAAGUUUCUCUGUCUUAAAAAAAUACUUAAUGAAAUUGAAUUUGUAGUGAAGAUGCUACAUUAAAAUUGUAAGACGAGAAGUCCCCAUGGAGCUUUACUAAAGGCUUAAGGUUUUCUAUAAGCGGGACAGUUUUGUUGGGGCGACAGUUUUUUAAAAAGUAACAAAAACGAACUAUGGCGUAGCUUCACCCUGAAAAAUUUUUUAAGGGACAUUUUUGGUGUGUUUUAUGAUCCGUUGUUUGGAAUGAAAAAAAUAACGAAAACA
Molecule: ribosomal RNA, 269 nt
Filed under: Tethocyathus virgatus
Lineage: Eukaryota; Metazoa; Cnidaria; Anthozoa; Scleractinia; Caryophylliidae
Description: partial 16S ribosomal RNA
Rfam family: Bacterial large subunit ribosomal RNA
Source: RNAcentral